CGGGGUCUAAUACCGGAUACUGACCCGCUUGGGCAUCCAAGCGGUUCGAAAGCUCCGGCGGUGCAGGAUGAGCCCGCGGCCUAUCAGCUUGUUGGUGAGGUAAUGGCUCACGAAGGCGACGACGGGUAGCCGGCCUGAGAGGGCGACCGGCCACACUGGGACUGAGACACGGCCCAGACUCCUACGGGAGGCAGCAGUGGGGAAUAUUGCACAAUGGGCGAAAGCCUGAUGCAGCGACGCCGCGUGAGGGAUGACGGCCUUCGGGUUGUAAACCUCUUUCAGCAGGGAAGAAGCGAAAGUGACGGUACCUGCAGAAGUUGCGCCGGCUAACUACGUGCCAGCAGCCGCGGUAAUACGUAGGGCGCGAGCGUUGUCCGGAAUUAUUGGGCGUAAAGAGCUCGUAGGCGGCUUGUCACGUCGGUUGUGAAAGCCCGGCCCUUAACCCCGGGUCUGCAGUCGAUACGGGCAGGCUAGAGUUCGGUAGGGGAGAUCGGAAUUCCUGGUGUAGCGGUGAAAUGCGCAGAUAUCAGGAGGAACACCGGUGGCGAAGGCGGAUCUCUGGGCCGAUACUGACGCUGAGGAGCGAAAGCGUGGGGAGCGAACAGGAUUAGAUACCCUGGUAGUCCACGCCGUAAACGGUGGGCACUAGGUGUGGGCGACAUUCCACGUCGUCCGUGCCGCAGCUAACGCAUUAAGUGCC
This 700-nucleotide ribosomal RNA is filed under the name Streptomyces aureus. Its description in RNAcentral is "bacterial SSU rRNA". It matches the Rfam family "Bacterial small subunit ribosomal RNA", at positions 157 to 868 of the family's 1533-position model. The record is from RNAcentral. Lineage: Bacteria; Bacillati; Actinomycetota; Actinomycetes; Kitasatosporales; Streptomycetaceae.